AAACGUAGGGGGCCAGCGUUGUCCGGAAUUACUGGGCGUAAAGCGCGCCCAGGCGGUCUAGUAAGCAGUGGGUGAAAUUCCAGGGCUUAACCCUGGGGCUGCUCGCUGAACUGCUAGACUAGAGUACGGGAGAGGGCAGUGGAAUUCCUGGUGUAGCGGUGGAAUGCGUAAAUAUCAGGAAGAACACCCGUGGCGAAGGCUGCUGCCUGGAACGUUACUGACGCUGAGGCGCGAAAGCUAGGGGAGCGAACGGGAUUAGAAACCCCGGUAGUCC
Molecule: ribosomal RNA, 274 nt
Filed under: uncultured bacterium
Lineage: Bacteria
Description: partial 16S ribosomal RNA
Rfam family: Bacterial small subunit ribosomal RNA
Source: RNAcentral